AACGGAGGGUGCGAGCGUUGCUCGGAAUCACUGGGCGUAAAGCGCGUGUAGGCGGCCUGUCGCGUCGGGCGUGAAAGCCCUCGGCUUAACCGGGGAACGGCGUCCGAUACGGGCAGGCUUGAGGACCGGAGAGGAAAGGGGAAUUCCCGGUGUAGAGGUGAAAUUCGUAGGUAUCGGGAGGAACACCAGUGGCGAAGGCGCCUUUCUGGACGGUUACUGACGCUGAGACGCGAAAGCGUGGGGAGCAAACAGGAUUAGAUACCCGUGUAGU
Molecule: ribosomal RNA, 271 nt
Filed under: uncultured bacterium
Lineage: Bacteria
Description: partial 16S ribosomal RNA
Rfam family: Bacterial small subunit ribosomal RNA
Source: RNAcentral